Molecule: ribosomal RNA, 119 nt
Filed under: Salmo salar (Atlantic salmon)
Lineage: Eukaryota; Metazoa; Chordata; Actinopteri; Salmoniformes; Salmonidae
Source: RNAcentral
GCUUACGCCCAUACCAUCCUGGGUACGCCCGAUCUUGUCUGAUCUCAGAAGCUAAGCAGGGUCGGGCCUGGUUAGUACUUGGAUGGGAGACCGCCUGGGAAUACCAGGUGCUGUAAGAA